GGCUCUUUGGCGACGUGGUCAGCGCGUUAGGCUAUUACCCGGGAGUCUGGAGGUUCAAGUCCUCGCCCGGGCCC
Molecule: non-coding RNA, 74 nt
Organism: Gymnothorax javanicus (giant moray)
Lineage: Eukaryota; Metazoa; Chordata; Actinopteri; Anguilliformes; Muraenidae
Source: the annotation of a GenBank genome assembly